GACGAGGGGUCCAAGCGUUGUUCGGAAUCAUUGGGCGUAAAGCGGGUGUAGGCGGCUCUAUAAGUCAGGAGUGAAAUCCCCGAGCUUAACUUGGGAAGUGCUUUUGAUACUGCAGAGCUUGAAUGUGGGAGAGGGUAGUGGAAUUCCAGGUGUAGUGGUGAAAUGCGCAGAUAUCAGGAGGAACACCGGUGGCGAAGGCGGGUCUCUGGGCAGUAACUGACGCUGAGGAGCGAAAGCGUGGGGAGCGAACAGG
This 253-nucleotide ribosomal RNA is filed under the name uncultured bacterium. Its description in RNAcentral is "partial 16S ribosomal RNA". It matches the Rfam family "Bacterial small subunit ribosomal RNA", at positions 524 to 776 of the family's 1533-position model. The record is from RNAcentral.